RNAcentral lists this ribosomal RNA (660 nucleotides) under Auriscalpium sp. MEL 2363157. RNAcentral's name for it is "eukaryotic LSU rRNA". The stretch from base 268 to 421 matches the Rfam family "5.8S ribosomal RNA". Lineage: Eukaryota; Fungi; Basidiomycota; Agaricomycetes; Russulales; Auriscalpiaceae. The record is from RNAcentral.
GUAACAAGGUUUCCGUAGGUGAACCUGCGGAAGGAUCAUUAUUGAAGCUUGAAGACCUAGGUUGUCGCUGGCCCUCUGGGGCAAUGUGCACACCUAUGGUUGACAAACCAUCCUUCACACCCCUGUGCACCUUUGCGUGGGUUUUUUGUUUGCAAGGGGUUAGGUUUCAGCACCUGACCCCUUUGCUUUCAGGACUCGCGUCUUCUCUACAAACACCUUUGCAUGUCUUGAGAAUGUAAUUUUAAUGCAAUGCAAUGCAUCCAAUACAACUUUCAACAAUGGAUCUCUUGGCUCUCGCAUCGAUGAAGAACGCAGCGAAAUGCGAUAAGUAAUGUGAAUUGCAGAAUUCAGUGAAUCAUCGAAUCUUUGAACGCACCUUGCGCCCCUUGGUAUUCCGAGGGGCACGCCUGUUUGAGUGUCGUGAAAUUCUCAACCCCUUACCCUUUCUUGUGAAGGAUUAUGGGCUUGGAUUUGGAGGCUUUGCUGGUUCCUCUGCGGGUCAGCUCCUCUCAAAGGUAUUAGCAGGACCCCUUUCGUAGGGCCUCGGUGUGAUAAUUGUCUACGCCGGUUUGGCCUCUGCACCAGUGGACCUGCUUCUAACCGUCUCGUAUAGGGACAGAUUUAAAUCAAACCUUGACCUCAGAUCAGGCGGGACUACCC